UACGGAGGGAGCUAGCGUUGUUCGGAAUUACUGGGCGUAAAGCGCGCGUAGGCGGCUUUGUAAGUUAGAGGUGAAAGCCCGGGGCUCAACCCCGGAACUGCCUUUAAGACUGCAUCGCUUGAAUCCGGGAGAGGUGAGUGGAAUUCCGAGUGUAGAGGUGAAAUUCGUAGAUAUUCGGAAGAACACCAGUGGCGAAGGCGGCUCACUGGACCGGUAUUGACGCUGAGGUGCGAAAGCGUGGGGAGCAAACAGG
RNAcentral lists this ribosomal RNA (253 nucleotides) under uncultured bacterium. Its description in RNAcentral is "partial 16S ribosomal RNA". It matches the Rfam family "Bacterial small subunit ribosomal RNA", at positions 524 to 776 of the family's 1533-position model. RNAcentral also lists the same sequence under 1 other name. The record is from RNAcentral.